CCCUGCCUGGGAAUCAAACCCAGGACCUUCUUGCUGCAAGGCAACAGUGCUACCAACUGCGCCACCAUGCAGCCCAUGAUUAUUUGUGUAUUUGUAUAUAUGAAUAUAUGUAUACAAGGGGUUUUGAAGAAAAUCCAGAAUGAAAGACUCACCAAGACUUCCAAUCAGCAUCCUGUCCACCUGAUUCUCCAUCCAAUCACCUUUCGACGCCUUGCUUUUAAAGGACCUUCAGCAGUGUUCAUCCUCGCUUGUCAGCUAAGCUCAUAUACGACUCCAACGCCUCCUCGCACUAUUCAUAUGAGACUCUCAUAAUCCUUACUUCCCUUCUGCUCGUAGGAGCCCUCUCCUCGCCUUGAUGGCUCAUUUCUUCCUUGUCUCAGUGCAUUAAGAACUCCUACACUUCUCCUGCUAAGCAUUGCCGAGGCAGCCCUGCCUCCUCACCGGCUCCCACUGCUGCAUCACCCGGCCUGGUUUCUCCAGCAGUUCCUACUUCCAUCUUCAUCCCUCAAACAGACUAUCCUACAAUUUUCCCUGCUUCAUUUAUCUCGUUCGUGGAUUCUCUCCAGCGCUCCGCGUCAUCCCUUACUCACCUGCUCUGUGAGUUUGCCACCAUCUCUGCUACGCCAGCACUUCCUCUUUCCCGUUCUAUCGUCACUGCCAGUUCCUCUGCCCCUCCCACCGGCGUUCGCACUUGCUAGUGCCCGGCCUAGCUCGUCUCUUCUCUAUCUUUUUCAUUCAUAUGCUCUUUAAGCGUGUGGUGUUUCCCACCCCUCUUUUCAUUCAGGUUGAUAAUUUACUCUCAUGUAUUCUACCAUCUCGUUCAGGCUCAACUCCAAUUCCUGCAGAGGAAGCUCAUUAAUCUGGUUUUUCUCCUUUUACCAUCUUCCGAGGCUUCCUUUGAUGGCUUUUUCUGCUUCGUUUAAAUCAUCUUGUCCCCGGCUUUCUGUCCGAACUAUUGCACCCUGCUUCCGGUCAGAUGUCUCGGAGUUCUUCCGGUCCUUGGUCCCCAGAAGCGAUCACACGAGGAAUGAUUACAGAGAUCAGCGCUGAGGCUCCUGUCUCGGAUCGUCGCCGUAUGUGAAAGGAUGACAAAGAGCCCCGAAGAAGGCUAUCUGGCACUCCAAAGCAAUAGAUCUGCCCUCCCCUAGUGUUUAUUACGUGUCACCAUUGUGGUGUAUGUCUGAUAGGUUGUGUAGUAGCUGGUGUCCAUUCUUAAUCUAAGUUGCUGCGGCAUCCUAAUCAAACAGUAUCGGCUACUCCCUUUACAAAACCCAGUGCCCAGCCAUAGGUCAUUCAUGUCAAACCUUGGGCCAUUUAUCCCCGUAUGUGUGUCGAUGAGCAUUCUUAUCUUAUUCUUAAAAAAAAAAAAAAAACAUUUAAACUUGUGCUUUAUAUCAU
Molecule: long non-coding RNA, 1398 nt
Organism: Girardinichthys multiradiatus
Lineage: Eukaryota; Metazoa; Chordata; Actinopteri; Cyprinodontiformes; Goodeidae
Exons: 2
Source: RefSeq, a predicted model, not a curated record